Bacteroides sp. 43_108 is the source of this 369-nucleotide non-coding RNA. NCBI's taxonomy places the organism in Bacteria, Pseudomonadati, Bacteroidota, Bacteroidia, Bacteroidales, Bacteroidaceae. The record is from Rfam.
GCAGUCGGACGGUCUGUCGCUGGUGCAUGUUUUUGCACGAGAGGAAAGUCCGGGCAGCAUAGGGCGCCCCGCUUCCUAAUGUAGAAGGAGUCUGUGAGGGCUGGUAAGUGUAGAAGAAAAUAACCGCUGAAGCGGCUUCGGUCGCAUUGCAAGGGUGAGAAGGUAGGGUAAGAGCCUACCAGAGGUGUGGUGACACAUCGGCUGUGCACGCCGGGGGCUGCAAGUUCAUGUAAACUGGCGCUUGAGGGUUGCUCGUCCGAGCCAGAGGGUAGAACGCUAGAGCCGUGUGGUGACAUACGGCGUGGAUAAAUGACAGACGCCGUUUCGCAAGAAACGGAACAGAACCCGGCUUAUAGUCCGGCUGCUUUU